This is a long non-coding RNA of Papilio xuthus (Asian swallowtail), 200 nucleotides long. RefSeq lists it as uncharacterized. NCBI's taxonomy places the organism in Eukaryota, Metazoa, Arthropoda, Insecta, Lepidoptera, Papilionidae. The transcript has 3 exons. The record is from RefSeq and is a predicted model, not a curated record.
CGCAAUGAUUUUGUGAGGGUGGUACUAAUCCUUGUCUUGGUGAUGUUACUGAUAACAGCGGCGGUUUUAGCAAUGGUUAACUCAUCAGACGAGUGGCGUGAUAUGUUUGUUUCUACUGGUACGAUGUUACCAAUGUUAGCAUUGUUAUUACUGAUGGGUGUUAACUACGCAUUUAUAUGUAGCGCCUGCGCACGAUACCC